RNAcentral lists this ribosomal RNA (206 nucleotides) under uncultured bacterium. RNAcentral describes it as "partial 16S ribosomal RNA". It matches the Rfam family "Bacterial small subunit ribosomal RNA", at positions 568 to 774 of the family's 1533-position model. The record is from RNAcentral.
CGCGUAGGCGGUUUUUAAGUCUGAUGUGAAAGCCCACGGCUCAACCGUGGAGGGUCAUUGGAAACUGGAAAACUUGAGUGCAGAAGAGGAAAGUGGAAUUCCAUGUGUAGCGGUGAAAUGCGCAGAGAUAUGGAGGAACACCAGUGGCGAAGGCGACUUUCUGGUCUGUAACUGACGCUGAUGUGCGAAAGCGUGGGGAUCAAACA